Small nucleolar RNA from Cynocephalus volans (Philippine flying lemur), 137 nucleotides. RefSeq annotates it as small nucleolar RNA SNORA70. NCBI's taxonomy places the organism in Eukaryota, Metazoa, Chordata, Mammalia, Dermoptera, Cynocephalidae. The transcript has a single exon. The record is from RefSeq and is a predicted model, not a curated record.
CAACAAUAAUAAAACAAACAGUUUUAAAAAUAAGCAAAAGGCGGCCCGGUAUGUAAUAACUGCAAACAGCAGCCUUCCUGGUAGUGUAUGCAGCCUGUUGCUUGUAUGAGUUGCCCUAAGGGACCUUGGAGACAGCC